This 490-nucleotide ribosomal RNA is filed under the name uncultured bacterium. RNAcentral's name for it is "partial 16S ribosomal RNA". It matches the Rfam family "Bacterial small subunit ribosomal RNA", at positions 30 to 507 of the family's 1533-position model. The record is from RNAcentral.
AUUGAACGCUGGCGGCAGGCCUAACACAUGCAAGUCGAACGGUAACAGGAAGAAGCUUGCUUCUUUGCUGACGAGUGGCGGACGGGUGAGUAAUGUCUGGGAAACUGCCUGAUGGAGGGGGAUAACUACUGGAAACGGUAGCUAAUACCGCAUAACGUCGCAAGACCAAAGAGGGGGACCUUCGGGCCUCUUGCCAUCGGAUGUGCCCAGAUGGGAUUAGCUAUUAGGUGGGGUAACGGCUCACCUAGGCGACGAUCCCUAGCUGGUCUGAGAGGAUGACCAGCCACACUGGAACUGAGACACGGUCCAGACUCCUACGGGAGGCAGCAGUGGGGAAUAUUGCACAAUGGGCGCAAGCCUGAUGCAGCCAUGCCGCGUGUAUGAAGAAGGCCUUCGGGUUGUAAAGUACUUUCAGCGGGGAGGAAGGGAGUAAAGUUAAUACCUUUGCUCAUUGACGUUACCCGCAGAAGAAGCACCGGCUAACUCCGUG